GGCCGGUUUACGCAUAAAAGAAAACAUGCUUACAAUAACACAAAACCUGUUAACAUCUGUAUUCCAUCAAAUAAUCCUAAAACUGAACUUGCUCCUAACAAACACAAACAUUUCAUCAAAGUUCAUCCAAACUUCUAGCAACAAACUUCAACAUACAAUCCCAUAUUUUCAUACAAAUACAAACAAAUUUCAAUACCCAAUUGAUUAAUACAAUUGGAAAUUACAUACCAACUAAUCAACUACAACAUUCAUUCUGAUUUUAUCAAAUUAAUGCAAAGAACAAAAAGCCAAACAAACACAUUACUUCUUAUUCUUUUGCAAGGCAUUUCUGAGAGAGCCAUUAACCAUAUACUCUGUCACUGUUGACACAGAACCUCUCGAACCAUCAAGCACAACACCAUAGAAGCUACCACAUUGAGGUGGUGCAAAUCAGCAAGUUUAAUGGCCUCGUUCUAGAAAUCAUCUCUCUGAUUGAAUACAAAAUCUAUAACAUAGGUGUUUAUACCGUAUAUUAACGACCAAUGACCACCUGACACGUGGACGGAAACGACAACUUGACAUCACAGGCCCUUCGGCAUAUCUUCUACCGAAUCCGACACAUUCCUGACACUUUUGACCUAGGACACGUGUCAUGCUCACGACCAGCUCCUACAGGCCCACAUCGGAAAUAUAAACAUAAUGCACGCCUCCCAAGGCCUAUAUAAGGAGACCUCUAUUCCCAAAAAAGGGGGAGAACAAUCAACGGUACGCUAUCGCUUGAUCUGUAAUAUGACAUUUACUAAAUCCGUACUUAUUUAAGCAUCGGAGAGCCUUCGGCCGGUACCGCACCGGUACCCCAAGGUCUUACCGAACGUUCCCUUUUUGCAGGAACUUGACCUUCCGAAGACUAACUACCUUCCGAAGACACAAUAUCACUAAGUUGGGCGAACCACGUGUCAAACCACUUUUUCGCAUCAACAGUUUGGAGCCGUCUGUGGGAAACGAAAAACAAUUAACCCACUAUCCCCUAAACACAUGGGGACCACUUCAAUACCCACUUUUCUAUCGGAGGACGGGGCACCGUUCGGAAGGCAAGCUGGGGCUAGCCCAGCGCUACCCCCAUGCACUCCCUACGGAAACACCCCCUCAACCCAAACAACCGCCGAGGCCGAGCUAGUAGCCCAAAUCGCAUCCCUGCGAAAGGACAUGGCUAGGCUUCAGGAGCACAACCACCACCUUUCGUCCAAAGUGGACGAAACCCAACGGCAGCUGCACCAGCAGCACCCGCAGAACAUCCAGACGACUCACUCUUCCGAAAGCUUGGGAACCCCUCAUAGGAGGAGGCACCGAAGGGCAGCAAGGGCAACGCCCGCGCCCUCCAAACAACUGGUGGUGCCGACACCUAGGGACCAACCACAUAUACCGAAGAAGGUCUAUUCUGACUGCCGACACCGGCUUAAUGAUCGGGAGGGAGAGAGACAGAGAUCCCCGAUCAGGAUUAGCGCUCGACUACGGGAAUCCCGGAUGAACGCCGGGGGAAGUAAGUCACCUAUUCGGAAGGUCCAAGGAUUGAACUCCACGGAGUCGGCAUCCGAGUAUAUCCCUUCCGAUGCGCAAACGUCCACCUACCGUUCGGUAUCAACUCAAUACUUGGGGGAUAACUCCGUGAGCCCGCGAAGGCGCUUGGAAGACUAUGAUGCCGAAGGAAUCCCAAGCCGAGACCCUGUUGUCCGACUCCUUUUUCAGAAGGUCCAGAAAAUGGAAAACGACAAGGCUCGCUCCCAGGAACCUGAGUGGGGAAAGCUUCGGCCCGGGCCGUUCACGAGACGCAUCCGUCGCUCUCGGCAGGAUCGGGAAGUGCAGCCAUUGCGCAUACCAUUCUACACUGGUACCGAAGAUCCUUUAACCCACCUUCAUUCAUUUCAGUCUGCCAUCGGAUGCAAGGGUCUGAGCGACGAGGGGCAGUGCCUGCUAUUCCCGUCUUCACUUACCGAGGCAGCCCUAAAUUGGUUCUACCGUCUGGAGCCGGAAACGGUGGAUUCUUUCGACGAGCUGAAGCAGAUCUUCCUCAAUCACUUCAUGAUCCAAACGGAUCGCCUUUACUCUGCCGAUGAUCUGUACACGAUUCGGCAGAGAGAGGACGAGCCACUGAGAGAGUAUGCGGCGCGUUUCAGUCACGAGUACUCAAGGUGUCCGGAAACAGAUGAUAGGGCAGCCUACGGCGCCUUCAAGAGUGGCCUUCGGUCCUCGCAUUUCCGAUACCUAGUACACAGCAGCAACUGGCGCACGUAUGAUGAGCUGAUGAAGCAGGCGGCGGUGCACGCCAAGGCCGAGUACUUCAACUCAAAACCAAGCGCUUCGGCACGCCGAGAGGAUGCAGAGCCAAGCGCUUAUCCGGCGAAGGCGCCAUCCUACGAAAGGGCCGACUCAUAUUCGGCGGGCCAUAAGCGGAAAGACAACCGUGCCGAUCGAAGAGAUCAGCCAAAGAAAGGGAAAGGGCGGUAUGGUCGCAACGACAACCGAGGACCCCUGCCCAACCGUGACCACGGCAACGAGGUCUUCACCCUGCUGAAUACCACGUAUGAAACCGUUCUGAUGAACGAACAGGAGGCCAUACCAAAGCCGAAUGUUAGAAGACCCAAUCGGCAAGACAACCGGGAGACCGGUAAAUUCUGCCGAUACCAUCAGCACAACAGCCACAACACGGAAGAUUGUAUAAGUUUGAGAAAGAUUGUGGAGCGGCUGAUCCGAGAAGGGAAACUGGACCAGUAUAUCGCCCGGCCGCCACGGCGCCGGUGCCGAACCCUCCUCGGCAGAUAAACAUGAUCAGCACUAUCAGCGGAGGACCUACCGUUGCGGGGAUGAGCCACCGUUCGAUGAAACAGUAUGUGCGUGCCGCGCAGUUUCCUCAGGUGCUCGGAAUAGAGGUGAAUCGGUUCCAGGAAACACCAAAAGUUCAUUGGGAGCCGAUCACAUUUUGCCAAGAGGAAGAAGAGGGAAUCCUCUAUCCCCACGACGACCCAAUGAUCAUCCGAGCUGAAAUUGCCGAUUACGAUGUAGGGCGAGUGCUGAUCGAUACCGGGAGCUCCGUGAGCGUAAUCUUUGCUGAAGCUUUCAGAGAGAUGGGAAUCAAUGACAACCAAGUCGACCGGCAGUUGACACCUCUGUUAAGCUUCUCUGGAGACCUGGUCCAACCGAUCGGUAGUGUCAGACUGCCAAUUACAUUUGGCACGGCGCCGAGAAAAACAACAACGUACGAUCAGUUCCUCAUCGUCGACUGCCCGACGGCAUACAACGUUAUCGUUGGCCGAACGGCACUGACGAGGAUCAAGGCGCAUCUUUCGCCCCACAUGCUGUUGAUGAAGUUCCCACCCCGAACGGCACGGGGGCAAUCCGGGGAAAUCAGUUGAGUGCGCGGACUUGCUACGCUACGGCGCUCAAGGCAACCUCGUUCAAACUCCCCAACGAGACCAUGACGGUGCAGGGUUUACCGAACGGUACUGGACCGGUUGACGACCCUAGAGAUGAAUCUCCCACCCCUCACACACAACCUGCCGAAGAAUUGGAGACCAUAACCUUGAGCGAUGAGCAGCCCGAUCGACAGGUUAGAAUCGGCACUAGACUCACUGCGAACCUCCGAACGCAAUUCAUAGACUUCUUGCGGCACCAUUCGGAAGUUUUCGCAUGGUCUUACGAGGACAUGCCCGGCAUCGCCCCGGACGUGAUUAGCCAUAAACUCACCAUCUCCUCCGCUUAUAAGCCCGUAAGGCAGAAGCGCCGAUCAUACGAUGCCGAACGGUAUGAGGCGAUGCGCACGGAAGUCGAAAAACUUCAAACCAUCGGUUUCAUCCGGGAAGCAACGUAUCCGGUAUGGCUUGCCAACUCCGUCAUGGUAAGAAAGUCCACGGGCGGGUGGCGGAUGUGCCAAGACUAUACCGACCUCAACAAGGCCUGCCCGAAGGACAGCUUUCCGUUACCACGGAUAGACCAGCUCGUGGAUGCCACUGCCGGCCACGAACUGCUGAGCUUUAUGGAUGCCUACUCCGGCUAUAACCAGAUAUUCAUGCACCCUCCCGAUAGCGAACACACCGCAUUCAUAACGGACAAAGGGUUGUACUGUUAUAAUGUCAUGCCGUUCGGUCUGAAGAACGCAGGGGCAACUUAUCAAAGGCUCGUCAACAAAAUCUUCGCCGGUUACAUCGGCAACAUCAUGGAGGUUUAUGUUGACGACAUGUUGGUAAAAAGCAGGACUGCCGAAGAACACCUGCAGAACCUAUCGAUCAUGUUCGGCAUCCUAAAAGACUACAGGAUGAGACUAAACCCGAAGAAAUGCGCCUUCGGUGUAUCUUCCGGGAAAUUCCUCGGAUUCAUGAUCAGUCAGAGGGGGAUUGAGGCUAAUCCCGAGAAAAUAAAGGCAAUCAUCGAUAUGGAGAGGCCGAAGACGACGAAGGACAUUCAGAGCCUUACCGGACGCGUGGCCGCCCUGACCCGUUUCAUAUCGAAAGCUACCGAUAAAUGUGUACCGUUCUUCAAAGCCUUGAAAGGGGGCAAACGGGAUAUCACAUGGACUGCCGAAUGCGAUAACGCAUUUCAAGCCCUGAAGAACUACAUGAGCAAAGCCCCCCUUUUGUCAAAACCGCUGCCUGGGGAAAUUCUCUACCUAUACCUUUCGGUAUCCGGAACUGCCGUCAGCUCGGUACUAAUUCGGAAACCAGAGAAGGCAGAGUUACCAAUCUUCUAUGUCAGCAAGGCACUCCAGAGAGCGGAACUUCGGUAUCCCCCAUUAGAGCAGCUGGCUCUAGCCCUUGUUGUCUCGGCACGAAGACUUCGGCCAUACUUCCAGGCACACGGGAUCAAAGUCCUGACCAACCACCCCCUCCGGCAAGUCCUCCAAAAACCAGAAAUUUCGGGCCGAUUGAUCAAAUGGGCGAUCGAACUCGGGGAAUUCGACAUACAGUUCGUUCCGAGGCCAGCGGAGAAGGGCCAGGCUGUUGCCGAUUUUAUCUCCGAGCUUACCCCAGCAACAGUACAACCGACAUCUGAGGCGAUUACCGAGACCAUCUUGCCGGAUCAACCAGGCGCCGAACGCCUUGACACAUCAACUCCCGUCUGGGGUUUGCACGUCGAUGGCUCGGCAAACCAGCAAGGAUGCGGAGCGGGCUUGGUGCUGACAACACCGGACGGACUCAAAAUCGAGUACGCCCUCCGAUUCGACUUCCGGACAUCCAACAANNNNNNNNNNGCAGGUUGGAACUGCAAUUACUCGAUGUAUUUGUUCUACUAGAAUUAAUAGAAAGCCCUCGGCACUAUUACUUUAGCCUCCCUUCAAUUAUCAUUUUUGCCCACGGCAACUAAAUGUUAAACAUCCUACGGCAUUCUAUACUAGCCUACGGCAAUGAAUGACCGUUCAAAUUUUUACCCUACAGAUCCCUUCGGGACUUGUCGAAAUUUAAACAUCCAACAGCGUCCUUAUUAGCCUACGGUAAUAAGUGACUUUUGAUCAGUAAUUAGCCUACGGCAAUUAGCAGUUAUAGCUUGUGAAAGCCGAUGAUUAGCGGUCUAUCGGCGAUUAGCCCACGGCAAUUAGCAAUUAUAACGCACUCACAUGGGUUAAAAUUUGAGAAUUGGACAAUUGAAAGUUGAACUUUGAAUUAUAACACAAACUUAAAUUAAACGAUGCCCUCGGCAUCAAUGUGUUCGAAAUAAAUAUUAAAAAUAAAAAUACAAAGAUGAAUGUAAAGAAAAACGCCCUCAGGCCGCGGCUUCGUCCCCGGCAGCGGCCUCGGCAGGCCCAGGACCUUCGGCAGCGUCCUCCCCUUCGUAAUCCUCGAUCAUAUCUUCAGUCAUUCCUUCGGGAAGGGGAGGGGGAUCGGCAGCAAAGUUGAGGUUCAGCUUCUGACCAGGGUUGUACCGCUUGAAUCGGUACAACAUGUCAGCCAUCUCAGAGCCCACCUCCUUAUCCAGAAGGGCAGCGAACUCCUCUGAUGAUCGGUACCCCUGGAUAGCGGACCGAACAGCAGCCUCGAUCUCCACCGCCUUGGUACGCUCACUCUCCUCCAGGGCGUCCUGGACCGCGUCUCCUCAGCCUUGGCCUCUGCAGCAAAGGCCCGCCGCUCGGCAGCCUCUUUGUCCUUCAGCAGAUCGGCGGCCUUGGUCCUGCCGUCGUCAUAGGCUUUUUUAGCCCGUUCGGCAGCAUUGAUGGCCCGCUUGACGCAGAGCCACAUCUCCAUGGACGCCUGCACAACUAACAAAUUCAGAAAGAAGCCCCACUUCAAAAAAAAAAAAGGGAAUGGAAUGACAAUAGAAGAAAAGCAUUCUUACCGACGCCUGCAGACGGAAGGCCCGCCCGGCCUGUUCCCGAAGAAGCUUCUUCGACAAUUCGUCAACCUCCGGCAGCUCCAUCUGAGAGCCGAGGAUCAUAUGGUUGACGAAUUGCACCGUCUUCGAGGGGCAGGCAAUGGUGACAGCCUCGGUAGGACCGUCCUCGUCCUCCGCCGCGAAGACAGCCCUCGUGGACUCCGAAGGACGACUCCGCUUGGAAGCUAGCGAAGCUUCCAGGUCUACCGUGAUCGGCCGCUUCCCGGCUGCUUUUGAGGCGGUGGCUUCGGCAUCUGACUGCCUCGGUGCAAUGGCACCGGCAGUUGGCCAUGCCACUGGUUCAGCACCCAGCUGCCGUAGACGCUCCGCAAGAGUUACGUCCUCGGGAUCCGUGGACGGCCGAACGGAAGGCGCCUCGGGCUGUUUCCUUUGUUUCUUGCCCUGCAGACCCAUCAUGAGCCGCCUCUUGGCCGACUCACUCAUUUUCUUGGCUUCGGCAGCCUUCCUUGCGUCAGUCACUGAUCAAAAAUACUCGGUCAGUCGGCAUGCAAAAUAAAUCGAUCAAGAAAAAAGAGAAAGGCACAGGUGUACUUACUCUUGGCAGGGCUGACGAGGCCGGCUCUGAUGAGAUUGCUGGUAAAAAGGAAUCGCGGGUAAACUCGCUCGGCAGCAGGGACCCUCAGCCUGACUCUGUCGAGCUGCCGAAUUUCGCUUUCCUUGAGGCUCGGUUGCUUGAGUUUACCUGCCGAAAGAAGAAUGAGUUACAAAACAGAGAAAGUAACAAGUACAAUAGUUGUUCUACCGACUGGUAACAUAACUACCUACCGGCAAUCUGGAACGCCGUAGGUACCGGAAACAGCGGGGAUACUCCCGACGGCGAUUCCCAAUCACCAGAGAGUACCACCCGCCGAUUCCUCCACGACUUUUGGGAAGUCGGCACCGAGCUGAUGAAGUGCCCCCCCUUAGAAGCCUUCAGGCAGUUCGCCUGAACCCAACCGCCGUGAUCGGCACUCUUGGACUUCGUGACGCUGUAUAGGUACGAGAAUUGCUCGUAGGAGGGCUCCCCCUCCCCGGCAAUCCCGAACGCAGCUAUCACCCCCAUUAAGGCCACCCAAAAGUUGGGAUUGUACUGGCCUGGGGCACACCCGAUCUGGGCUAGGAUCUUCUAGACAGCAGGCUGCAACGGCAGCCUGACACCCUGCGCCAACAUAUCGGUGAAGAAGACGACUCCACCAUCUCCUGGGUCGCUGAGGGAUUCGGUAGGGCUCGGAAUUCUCAUUUUCACAGAAUCCGGGAUGAGAUACUCCGCCCUAAUCUUCUCGAGCUCCCGUUCGGUAAGCUUGUUGGGCUCCAAAUAGUCGACCCCGAAUAGGGUCUUCUUCGGUACGCCCACCGGUAUCCUUGACCGCUCUCGAUGGACGAUCGUAACCCUCGCGCCCAGAGGUGAAAGCCUCCGGCUGGCGUUCGAAGGUACCGACGCGGGUACCAUCCCUAUAGACCGCGGCCAAGGGAAGAGGUUGCCCCGUCAUCAGUCCUUUGCCGACGCCGUGGACAGGAACGGAGGUCACCUCCUCACCGAUAACUUCCACAUCGGUGUCCCCUCCACUCUCGGCUCCGAGGCUCGCAGCCCCGCUGGACGUGUCCCAGCCCGAUGACAACUCCUCAUCGAAAGCGUUGGGCUCACUGCCGAAGGACUCGCUAGAAGACAUCUACAAAAAAAAAAAGAGAAAAAAGGAUGGCUAAGGCUCUGUAAUGAACUACCCUACCGAUGUCUACGCCACUACCUAUAGUUCACUAGACUACCGAAGGAGGGCCCCUAUAGACGAUCGGCUAGGCCUAUACUAUGAAAGCACCCGGAAAUAUAAAGAAAAAUUAUUAGGCUACCGAACGGUAACUUACUUUGGGUAUUGUUGAGACUUUGAUUGCCGUUCAGACGCUUCGACAAUCGCCUUGAUUGCCGAUAACCCCUUCGAAAAUCGCCUCGAUUGCCGUUCACACUCUUCUGAAAUCGCCUACGCAGAGCUCUCGCGUCACUCUCAAAUGCAAAGUGAGCUCUAUGUCUGGAGCGAUCUCUAUUUAUAGGGAGAGGGCUGCAACGGCACGCCUUGGGAAACCAAACAGCUCAUAAUUACAGCCGUCAGACGUCGCUUCGCUGGCCACGUGUCGCCCGGUGGAUGGUGAUGUCAGCUGCACGCCUGGUACAGAAGACGAAGCGUCUCUGCACGCCGGGUGCAGAAGGCGAAGCGUCUCCACGCGCCAGGCACGGGAAACGAAGCGUCCCUGCCUUCACCCCUCUCAGCAUCGGCGACCCUUCAGAUCUCAGAGGAGCCUUCCACAAACAAACUUGCCGAACGGCAGGGCAUCUAUGAACCCUCAGGGUGGAACCAAAUUCCCUUCCGAAGAACCUUCGGAAGAGAACUUGGGGGACUACUGUUUAUACCGUAUAUUGACGACCAAUGACCACCUGACACGUGGACGGAAACGACAACUUGACAUCACAGGCCCUUCGGCAUAUCUUCUACCGAAUCCGACACAUCCUGACGCUUUUGACCUAGGACACGUGUCAUGCUCACGACCAGCUCCUACAGUCCCACAUCGGAAAUAUAAACAUAAUGCACGCCUCCCAAGGCCUAUAUAAGGAGACCUCUAUUCCCAAAAGAAGGGGACAGAAAAUAACGGUACGCUAUCGCUUGAUCUGUAAUCUGACAUUUACUAAAUCCGUACUUACUUAAGCAUCGGAGAGCCUUCGGCCGGUACCGCACCGGUACCCCAAGGUCUUACCGAACGUUCCCUUUUUGCAGGAACUUGAUCUUCCGAAGACUAACUCCCUUCCGAAGACACAAUAUCACUAAGUUGGGCGAACCACGUGUCAAACCACUUUUUCGCAUCAACAAUAGGGACCAUGCAAGUGAGGUAUUAAUAAUAAAAAAUUAAUAGCUUUUGGAAACUAGUGCAAUGAAAAGACAAAUCAUUUAUUCUUCCAUAACCCAAUUCUCUCAUCUCUUUCCACACCUUGACAGACCCAAUCCCAUAUUUUCAUAAAUACAAAUAAUUGAUUAAUACAAAUCAAAUUAGAAAUUUCAAAACCCAAUUGAUUAAUUGACAUCUUACAAAGCAGAGUAAGACAACAAAAGAAAAACAACAACUGGGUAUGAUUCAAGAAUUGAAACAAACCUUAGUUCUAAGAGGGUGGGAUUGAAGUGGUAUGAGCUAUUUUCUCCAAGCCCCAUUGAGUAUCUCAGACAUGGUUUUGAAGCUGCGAAUUAAGAGGAACAUACAAGAGGCACAACUAGGUUUUCGAAGAAGGAAGAGAUGAGGUCAACAACUUGGAGGUGCUGAGGCUUAUAAUGAGAUAUGGCGGCUGCUUCGCUUAGGGUUUUUUUUCAGUUGAGGUUUGAGUUUUAGUUCUAGAGAAGAGACAGGCUUCGAAUUUGAGUGUAGUGGAGGGUUUUCUUGGUUUU
Molecule: long non-coding RNA, 9758 nt
Filed under: Prunus dulcis (almond)
Lineage: Eukaryota; Viridiplantae; Streptophyta; Magnoliopsida; Rosales; Rosaceae
Description: sRNA ncRNA
Source: RNAcentral